UGUAUUUUUGCUAUCAAUCUUAUUACUUGGUUGCAAACACUAUUAACGAGGUAUAAACGUUGCGGCUAUAUAGUACUGAAAUGGUCUGACCAAUAAUACAAAUACUACAAAGACAAACGUACAAAUGUACAACAGUACAACACACUUCGGCGCUUCGGCGUCCGACGUCCGGUGUUUAUUUUUUAAGUUCUGGUGCUUUGCCGCCAUUUAGGCGACAUAGCAUUGUCGCCUAUCGGCUUCGAGCGAUGUACGAGAGUUAUUCUCAUAGACAUCGUUGCUGACUGCGAUACAGUAUUACAGUCUUCACUGUUGUCAUUUUAUGUGCUUGCUACUCGCCGGCCGAAAAACUUGUUUUUAUUUUUUCAACCAUCCGUCUGAUACUUCAAUUUAUUUGUCAGGCGACGACGUUAAUUUGGAUUCAUCAUUGAAUAUAAUCGCUUCCAUAAUCUAUACCAUUUUUGUAUAAAAAUUAUCGUUUCCCGUAGAUUGGUGGACGGUGUUUCUAAGUUCUAACAGCAUGAUAAUCUUAUCUGAACACAGCUAUCUUGCCAUUACCAUAAAGAAACUUGGAACUAAAAAAAUCACUUCAACUAUUCAAGGUAUUGUUAGUUUGGUCACAAGUAUAACAAAAUUAUUUUUACUCCAUAAAAAUUCAGAAGAUGAAAAAAAUCAGUGAAGUGAUAGAAAUAUUAUUCAGAUUUAGAUUUAAGUUCAAAACGUCAUGUAAAGGAUUUGAUAGAGAAGUGUGAUAGGCGUUUAGAUAUACGGCAAGUAGAAAACUUUGGCAGAGAAAAACGGUAAAGAGUUGAAAAAUAUUCAUAUCUUAGUUAUAAUGGUGGAAAAAGUUAUUAGAUAAAUAUAAACUAUGAGAGAACACAUAUAAUAAAAUUAAUAGAUGGGAAAUUCCAAGUAAAAAUUCACAUUUAUGACGCUCUAACUAUGUCAUGAAAUAAUUUAUUUAAAA
Melanaphis sacchari is the source of this 964-nucleotide long non-coding RNA. RefSeq lists it as uncharacterized. The transcript is spliced from 3 exons. The record is from RefSeq and is a predicted model, not a curated record. NCBI's taxonomy places the organism in Eukaryota, Metazoa, Arthropoda, Insecta, Hemiptera, Aphididae.